This 517-nucleotide ribosomal RNA is filed under the name uncultured bacterium. RNAcentral's name for it is "bacterial SSU rRNA". It matches the Rfam family "Bacterial small subunit ribosomal RNA", at positions 32 to 518 of the family's 1533-position model. The record is from RNAcentral.
GAGACGCUGGCGGCGUGCCUAAUACAUGCAAGUCGAACGGUCUUUUCUAUGGAAGCUUGCUUCCACUGAGAAGAUAGUGGCGAACGGGUGAGUAACACGUGGGUAACCUGCCCAUAAGAGGGGGAUAACAUCCGGAAACGGGUGCUAAUACCGCAUAGUUUUUCUUGAUUGCAUGAUUGAGAAAGGAAAGACGGCCUUUGUGCUGUCGCUUAUGGAUGGACCCGCGGCGUAUUAGUUAGUUGGUGAGGUAACGGCUCACCAAGACGAUGAUACGUAGCCGACCUGAGAGGGUGAUCGGCCACAUUGGGACUGAGACACGGCCCAAACUCCUACGGGAGGCAGCAGUAGGGAAUCUUCCGCAAUGGACGAAAGUCUGACGGAGCAACGCCGCGUGAGUGAAGAAAGGUUUUCGGAUCGUAAAACUCUGUUGUCAGAGAAGAACAAGUUGGAGAGUAACUGCUCCAGCCUUGACGGUAUCUGACCAGAAAGCCACGGCUAACUACGUGCCAGCCGCUGC